This 1086-nucleotide ribosomal RNA is filed under the name Triticum aestivum (bread wheat). Its description in RNAcentral is "partial small subunit ribosomal RNA". Lineage: Eukaryota; Viridiplantae; Streptophyta; Magnoliopsida; Poales; Poaceae. The record is from RNAcentral.
AUGUGGCGAAAAAAGACUGAUUCAACGAAAUAUGACAUGCCAGCAUUAAGAUUCAAAACAUGUCGUCUACUUACAGGAAAUGUUCGGAACAGGGAACUUUCUCUAAUCCAACGCCGUAUUCUCCGAAGAUUGAGGAACAAGAGGAGAUCCAUCAAAAGAAAUCUUUCUCGGAGAAAAAAUCUAAACGGUAACAUCAAAUCACAAACUACACAAAAGUUAUGCACAGGGGAAGAGAACGAACUUCAUAUAUAUAUAUAUAUCCCUAUCUUACUCAAUCAAGAAACAAGAUCGGACGUGAUUCCGGUUCAUCUCCAUUUUAGUGACACUCUUCCUCAAGCAAGGCAGCCGAUAAGUCCUCGAAGGGUUUGUUUGAAUAAUGGACUGGUAACCAUUGCUCAUUUGAAAGUUUCCCACGGUGAUCUAAUAUCUUUUAAAGAAAAUGACGCGAGAACCCGCGGUUUUGAAAUAAGGAGAUCUUUCUAUAUGGACAUAUCAGUUGGAAAAAUCAUAGGCAAAUUCCUAUCGGACAUAUCAGUUGGAAAAAGAAGAGGCAAAUUCCUACCGGCCAGAAUCUGGAGAAGAACAAAAAAUGAAUGGUUCCGCUUACUCACAACUCAGAGGGGAUGCCACUUACUACUCAAAUCCAAGGAAUUGCAGAAGUUGCGUUCUUAUAUGCAAGAAGAAGACUUUGAAAGAACAAAGAAGUUUGGAUCCGCAAAAGUAUGCUUAGGCAGUUCCUUCGGUGAGCACAACAGAAUGAAGAGGAAUUUGUUUCAUUUCAAAUACUUCUUCUUAUUGAAAAGAGGGAAGGAGAAAAACCGAAAUCUUCCUACUCGAACAAUAAGUCCUUUUGUAGAAAAGUCUUCUUUAUAUAGUAAUUCGACCUAUUGCUCCGGAUCCCCGUUUACUAGGAAGAUAAGAAUCAAGAGGAUCGAACUACCUACUCAUUAUUCGGAGGUGAAUCAUAGAACACUAAAAGCUGUGGUAUCUUAUGGACCUAACAUAGGUCACAUCCCUCAUGACAUAAGAUUGAAAGAUCCAAACCUUCCACUUCGAAGCGGAAACGGACGUGGCCAAAACAUAUAA